Brassica rapa (field mustard) is the source of this 6531-nucleotide long non-coding RNA. RefSeq lists it as uncharacterized. Lineage: Eukaryota; Viridiplantae; Streptophyta; Magnoliopsida; Brassicales; Brassicaceae. The record is from RefSeq and is a predicted model, not a curated record.
UUCAUAUUCAAAUUUUGUGAUCCAUGGUUUAAAUUUUCUGUUAUGACAUGAUACAAAUAAUUAAAAAAUUAUAUAAGUUGAAAGUCUCAUUUAAUAAGUAUUAAAAUAAAAGAUAUAAGAAUAUAUAUAUAUAUAUAUAUUAAUCCCACAAUGAUAAUUUUGUUAUCAGUAAUUUAAUUUUUUUUGCUAUAACAGAUACAAACGAUAAAAAUAUAUGAGCAAAAUGCAUUAUUUAAUAAAUAUUAAUAUUAAAAUAUUUAUAUAUAUGUUACUAUAAUUUAAAUUUAAUUAUAUAAUAUAUCAAAUAAAAAAAUAUUGUUUGGAUUAAUAAAAUUUAUUUAUAUGUUCUUACCAAUUUAAUUAUAUAAGUAAUAGUUACUGAUUUUUUAAUUAUUCAAUAUAUAUUUAUUAUUUCAUAAUAUGUUAGAAAUAUAUAAUAUAUAAAAUAGUUUAUAUAUAUAAUGUUCAUCCCGUGCAAGGCGCGGGUCUUAACCUAGUACGCUAAUAUAUCUCUUGUAACAAAAACUCAACAUCACAAAAUCUUAUGUUUCUUUAGUUUUGUACUUUUUGUUGAUCUGAUAUGUUGUUGUUUUGAUACGUCAUUUUUCCUUUGUCUAAACAGAAAGAUCCCAGGCGACGUGAAGUUAGCGCGGUGGUGAGUGGGGGUUGGGCUGCGCCGCCGUCGUUCGGUGUGGCGCGGAAAUUAGGGUUUCCUGACCUAGGUUUUGGGUGUGGGCUGAAGGUCCAGUUUGUUUGGGGCUGAAGGCCUUUCGUUCUGGAUUUAGUUGGGCCGGUCUGUUUUGGGCCAUUUGUAGUUUGGUUCAGUUUGGGCUUUGUCCCUUUUUAAUGAAACUAUUUAGACGGAAAAAAAAAAACAGAAAUUGCUGAGAGUUUGGAAAGAAAAAAUCUUCUUUAUAUAAUACGCUUUAAGCAAACACCAACAAAAUUUAAGUCUGACAAUUAUUUUAAUAUAAAAUUAAUAUACCAUACUUUAAACAAAUAAUAAAUAAAAUUAGUAUAUUAAUUUUCUUAUAAUUGUUAAAUAUAUAUUUGUAAUUUUGUAAAUAUGAAAUCAUAUCUAUGUAAACUAAGACAAGUUUUCAUAUGAAAAGGUUCCCAGCGGCGAUGGAGAAAACUUUGAAAAGAGAUUAUCAUAGCUGGAUUUUUCCGAGUUCAGUUCACGGUUGUCCUACUCGGCGUUUAAACGAAAUGAUGUGACAUUUCGUUUGUGAACAUGUAGAAAUAAAUGAUUGCUGAAUCCGAGUUUGGUUAGGUCGAAUGAAAUGAAACAAAACUCGAUUUGUGGGUUCUUCAAAGACGUUUUAUUGAACGGUAAGAGAUAACGAAAGUGAUUACAAGUAUUUUAAGGAAAAGAGACAAGUUCGGAGCUUCGUUGAAAGCACCGACGAGAAUACAAAGAGGCUCGAUCGGUUGUAAAACCCUAAACUUGCCGUCAGUGUUUUAGUGUCUAUUUCGGAUCCCCUUUCUCUCUCCUGCGUGUCUUUCUUUUAUAGCUUCAAUUCAUUAUCCUUCGUUCCCCCUAAGGCGGUGUUCGCCCUAAAGGCCCAAGCUUGAUUACAUCUUUGAUGGGCUUUUGAGUCGAACAGAGGUUUGCUGAGCUGAUGUUGACUUGAUCAGUCGAUCGUUUGUGAGGCUAAAGGAGUCGAACGAAUCCUCAAGCCGGCCGAUCCAUUAACCGAGCUCAUCAACGUCGGGGUUUCUAUGUUAAUGCGCCGAAUCAUGUUGUUCGAUGGGCCUUGUGGAGGAAUGUCAAAUUCAUCUCCAACAGUAACCCCCCCCCCCCGGUAGCCCACUCGUGAGGGAUCAUGGUUCGUCUCAGUGGGUAGCAAGAGUUAGUUCUGAAAACAACAUGUUCGGUCCUGCGCAAAUCGAUCGUUUAAUGCUCUUUGGUAUACUAUUUGACCGAUUGACAUGCGCCGAUUGAUCGAUUCACAUGCGUCCAAUUGCUCAAGUUUUUGAUUAAUGCUCACCUGAUCGCAGGGGAUUGAUAUGUCGCGGGUUUUAGAGAAGUAUUGUUUGGUGCGAGGUUGUUUAUCACGAGGAUGUUUUGGUCUUGUUAGGCAUUAGGUCGAUCAAUCGACAUAUACCUAGUUGCUCAAGUCCUCGAUCGAUGCUCGCCUGCUCGUUCGUUCUGAUACGUCGCAGGGUUUAGAGAUCGACAAUGUUAUUUGUCGUUUGAUUGCUAACUGAGUUAUCUGCCUGGUUUCCGUUGUAUGGCAUUCCGUUGUAUGGCAUUUGGGCGAAAGGAGGGGAACAUUGAUUAGUUAUGCGUUGACCGGUUGAUUGAUCGGCCGCCAGGUUGCUCCUUGCAUUGCUCACAUUUUUGUUGAAGACUCAUCGAUCGGACGGUCUGAUUUGACGUGGAAAACUGAAGCGACAACUCUAGUGGUGCUGAAAACGAGGCUUUAAUAGGCCCAAUAAGCCUAAUGAUGGGACUGUUCCCAAAGCCCGUAUGUUUUUGCUAUAAAUAGGGUCUUCAUCCUUUAUUUUGUCAUUUCUGCACAGAUCCAAAAAGGUAUCCUCUCUCUCCCUUCCUUUUAUUUUUUUUUGGCCGACCUCCUCUUGUUUUCGAAGAGCGCCAUCGGAUCUGGUCUCCGUCGCCGACUUAGGUUCUCGCCGUCGGAUCUCCGCCGGAUCUUUCACUGUCGUUGAGUCGUUCGAUGUCGUCGCUCCGUCGGAGGUAUUCUGAAAAUGAAAAGGGAAAGGGCAUUAGGGCCGAUUCGAGUACUUCGAUCGAUCGGUCGUCUGGUCUAAAGCUGUUGGAUGCUGCGAUUAGGGCUCAUCGAGGGGCUCCCGGUGAUGUUGCUAGCUUGAACUCCGAUCGGAUCGAGGUCGCUGGCGAUGCUGAGGAGCGAUUCGGAAAACGAUUAGCGACUACGACUCGCUGGCGAACGAUGGGGUCGUCAACAUUGGUAAAGAGGACGCGGGUGGUCGCUCGGACAAUUCGACAAAGAAGACCCGUCAGCUGAUUCCGUUCCUUUAUCAGCUGGAUCUCUCGUCAAGAUUCCUUCGACCGGCUGUCAUACAGGGGCAGAGUUGGAACGACGUUUUGCCCACCUGAUCGACUUUCAAGAGUGUUUCUUCGCUGUUGAAGGAGUGUAGAGCGCACGGCAUUGAGUUUAUUAUUCCUCGGCCCCACCAGUGGCCUUCGGCUCCACUGAUCGGUUUUCAAUGCGUCUAUGAGUGUUUCUUCCAACAAGAUUCUAAGUUGUGGUUUCCGAUUCCUCGCAUAAUCACCUCUUAUUGUGCGCGUCGGGACAUAGCUAUGACUAAGUUGAUGAUCAGAGCGGUGAGAAUUUCCAUUGCGUUGAUGGUGAUGGCGGCGGAGAUAGACAUGUCGAUGUCUGUCGAUGUCUGUUCGAAUCUUCGAAGAAUUGACACAUAUCCAACUGAGACCCGGCGGUGUGUACGCUGUGCAGAUGCGUUCGGGGUUAAGUAUCCUGACCGGCCAUCCUUCGAGGAUGAAACUCUGGCAGCGUUACUACUUUUAUGUUAAAGCUAACAGUGCCUUUGAAGAGCCGCCGGACGACCCCUUCUGCAUCCUAGUCGUACCGGUAGUUUAGCUGAUCUCAAGCGACUGGUUGAUUUUUUUAAUGUCGGUUUAAAAUGCUUGUCUUCUGACUUUGCAGUUAUUCAUCUGAAUACUAUUGGACCAUUGGAUACCUUUUGGAAGGACGUUCCGAAGAUCGUUGUACUCAGUCGGCAACAUUGGGAAAACUUUGACCGUCGGAGGAUCAGUCGCCAGCAAGAACGAAUCGCUAAAGACGAUUGGCCAUCGAACGUUCCUUGCGAGGAGAUAAAGGGAAAAAGAUUGAAGCUUCCACUCAUGGGUAAAAUCCUGAAGUCUUACCCAAACUACAGCGACAUUCUCGAUGCUCAAUUAGGUGGCGAGAGAUUCAGUGCCAUGACGGCAGCGGAAGAGGAGGAUUCUGACGCUCGUGGAUCUCCUGAAGGGUGGAUAGAUGCUUAUGCGGGCAAGGCUUUGGUAGAGGGGGCGAUUGAUCAGGUGUCUGACACUCGUCCGUCCAAAAAGAAGAAGAAGAAAAGUAAGUUUUCUAAGAGAGCGAAAGUUGGUUUUGAAGGGGAAAGAGAACAGGAAGUUGAGAUCAAUCGGUAGAGGACGAUCGCCUAACCGAUGAGGUGGAGGGGAAUUGCGAGGCUGCUCAGACGGAUAAUCUUGAAGGCUUAACCGAGGACGGUCAAGUCGAAUCUUUAAGAUCAAAAAAAAAAAGUUGGUUGAACAUGGUGUUCUUGAGUCCGCUGUUAAAAUCAUGUCAAACCAGUAGAUGGGAUUUUACGUAAAAUAUAAAUCCCAUCUACUCGUCUGACGUGAAAUCCCAGUUUUAUAAUUUACGUGAUAUCAUAUAUCAGGUCCUGAGUUAACAUAUUUUUUUAUUUUGGAGAUUGACUUAACAUAUUUCUUAUUUUGAUUAAAAAGUAAGUAUUUGUAUAUUAUACUGCUAAUUAGGUGGGUUUAGGUUUUGUAUUUUAAUACAUAUUUGUAGAUAGACCGAGUUAUGAUCUUAUUAUAUAAAGCUUGGUUCUUAAAAGUUGCUAAUUAAUAUGAUCGCGACACAUAGCAAUUAUAUAUUUAAGAUUGUGACAUGUGUUAAUUUAUCUCAUAAUUAAAAAUAUAUACUAAGAUAUUAACAAAAAUAAAUUUAAUAAAAGUUUUUUAUAUAUAUUAUUUAAUAGUAAUUUUCUUUUUUUAAAUCCUAAUCAAAAGAUUAUUGCAAAAGAUUCUUUGAUAAUAAGAUAUUGUGACUUGUGUUUAAAUAUAUAAUGAUUAAAAAUAUAUAUAAUAACAUAAUAAAAACAAAAUUUGAAACAACUACUUUUAAAAAUUAUUUAAUAGUAAAAACGAUUUUUUUAAAAAAAACUUUAGUAGUAAUUGUUUUAGAAAUUUUCCUUUUUCAAAAUCCUAAAAAAUAGAUUUGAAAACAAUUUAUUUAAUAUAAUUUUCUUUUCUAAACUUUUAAUGAAGAUAUAAUUAUAAAAGAUUAUAUUGAGCUUGGUUCUUCAAAAUUGCUAAUUAACAUGAUAUGACACAUGGUAGUUAUAUACUAAAAAAUGUGAUAUGUGUUAAACUAUAUCAUAAUCAAACAUAUAUAUACUAAAUUAAUAAAAACUAUUUUUCUGAAAAAUUAAUUAUAAAUAUUAUUUAAUAGUUAUUAAUAUUAUUAUUAAUAUUAUUAUUAUUAUUAUUAUUGUUAUUAUUAUUAUUAUUAUUAUUCAUCAUAAUAUUUGUAUUAAAAGAUACUAAAAUAGUGAGUUAUAAAAGAUAAACAUUAAUUUUUAUGAAAAAAUGUUUAAAAAACGAAUUGUAAAAUCCUGCAAGUACAAUAAAUUAUUUAAAAGAAACAUGAAGAAAAACUAAUUUUAAAAUAAAUAAUAUUACUUUUUUAAAAGCAUAAAUAAAACAAAAUUGUAAAAGUACUCUUAUUAGUUUCUUAUAUGUAAAUAACUUACCCUUUUUAAUAGAUAAUUGUAUGUUAAAAAAUUAUGACAAAAAAUAGCUGCAAAUAUUUCAUAUCUAUAUUUAAGUUUAAGCUUCCACAAAUUAUUUUAAAAAAAACCAAUAGUAUUUACAUGAAAAGUAUUACCUAAGUAUUUUCUUUUAAUUUCUUGAUACAACUCAAUUUUUUUAUUAUCCAUACUACAUCUUAUGAUGCUAGCAUAACUUUUAAUUUUGAUGCUAUUGUCGUACAUGAGUAUGUGUGAUUAUGAUAAAUAUGUGUUUGUAUGUAUAAGACAAAAUAAGUAAAUAAUUAAACAGAAUAUUUCUAUUAAAAUAAAAUAGUUGUAUAAAAAUCUAAAAGAAAUAAAAUAAUUAAUUUCCUUUUUAAAAUUCUAAAUAAAAUAUAAAAGUAGAAGUAAUCUUAUUUUUCUUAUAAUUAACUAACUUUACUUUUUAAUAAUUUUGUGUUAAAAAAUAUAAACCAAAAUUUCAAAAUAAACAUAGAUCAUUAAAUUGUGAAUGUGUUAAUAAAAACUUUCAUUAUGUUAAAAUAACUUCUUCUUUUCCUAGAAUCUUAAUAAUUUCUUUUUUUUUCAAAGCGUGACCAAAGAGAAUUUUAAAACUUUAUUUAAUAGCAAUUUUUACUUCAAAAAUUUAAUGAUAAACAUCAUAGUAACAAUUAUUCAAUUAACAAGAAAAAUUGUUAAAAUAUUAAUGAUAUUGAAAUUUGUUUUUGUUUUUUUUUUAAAUUGCAACUUUUAAAAUAGUUAAUUCACUGGAAAUAGUUAUUUGAUAUAAAUUAUAUUUUUCUUAAAUCCUAGACAAAUAUAAUUGUGAAAGAUUAUGUAAUAUUUGUUUUAUUUUCUAAAAUCUUACAAAACUGUAAAAGAAUAUUUGAUAGUUGUUUUCUUUUUUUAUAAAAAAAGUCCAAAACAAAAGAAAUUUGUAUAAUAUUUUUAUGUCCUAACGAAAAGAGAAUUGUAAAAAUUUAUAUGAUAUUAUUUGUAAGAGAGUGUUUGAUGAUGAGCAUGAUAGUAAAAAUUAUUUAUUUA